RNAcentral lists this ribosomal RNA (738 nucleotides) under uncultured bacterium. RNAcentral's name for it is "bacterial SSU rRNA". It matches the Rfam family "Bacterial small subunit ribosomal RNA", at positions 67 to 826 of the family's 1533-position model. The record is from RNAcentral.
CGGGAGAAUUGCUAGCUUGCUAAUAAUUCUCUAGUGGCGCACGGGUGAGUAACACGUGAGUAACCUGCCCCCAAGAGUGGGAUAGCCCCGGGAAACUGGGAUUAAUACCGCAUAAAAUCGCAAGAUUAAAGCAGCAAUGCGCUUGGGGAUGGGCUCGCGUCCUAUUAGUUAGUUGGUGAGGUAACGGCUCACCAAGGCGAUGACGGGUAGCCGGUCUGAGAGGAUGUCCGGCCACACUGGAACUGAGACACGGUCCAGACACCUACGGGUGGCAGCAGUCGAGAAUCAUUCACAAUGGGGGAAACCCUGAUGGUGCGACGCCGCGUGGGGGAAUGAAGGUCUUCGGAUUGUAAACCCCUGUCAUGUGGGAGCAAAUUAAAAAGAUAGUACCACAAGAGGAAGAGACGGCUAACUCUGUGCCAGCAGCCGCGGUAAUACAGAGGUCUCAAGCGUUGUUCGGAAUCACUGGGCGUAAAGCGUGCGUAGGCGGUUUCGUAAGUCGUGUGUGAAAGGCGGGGGCUCAACCCCCGGACUGCACAUGAUACUGCGAGACUAGAGUAAUGGAGGGGGAACCGGAAUUCUCGGUGUAGCAGUGAAAUGCGUAGAUAUCGAGAGGAACACUCGUGGCGAAGGCGGGUUCCUGGACAUUAACUGACGCUGAGGCACGAAGGCCAGGGGAGCGAAAGGGAUUAGAUACCCCUGUAGUCCUGGCAGUAAACGGUGCACGCUUGGUGUGCG